Molecule: ribosomal RNA, 588 nt
Filed under: Rossellomorea vietnamensis
Lineage: Bacteria; Bacillati; Bacillota; Bacilli; Caryophanales; Bacillaceae
Description: bacterial SSU rRNA
Rfam family: Bacterial small subunit ribosomal RNA
Source: RNAcentral
GGGAGCUUGCUCCCUGAUAUCAGCGGCGGACGGGUGAGUAACACGUGGGUAACCUGCCUGUAAGACUGGGAUAACUCCGGGAAACCGGGGCUAAUACCGGAUAACUCAUUUCCUCGCAUGAGGAAAUGUUGAAAGAUGGCUUUUUGCUAUCACUUACAGAUGGACCCGCGGCGCAUUAGCUAGUUGGUGAGGUAACGGCUCACCAAGGCAACGAUGCGUAGCCGACCUGAGAGGGUGAUCGGCCACACUGGGACUGAGACACGGCCCAGACUCCUACGGGAGGCAGCAGUAGGGAAUCUUCCGCAAUGGACGAAAGUCUGACGGAGCAACGCCGCGUGAGUGAUGAAGGUUUUCGGAUCGUAAAGCUCUGUUGUUAGGGAAGAACAAGUGCCGUUCGAAUAGGGCGGCACCUUGACGGUACCUAACCAGAAAGCCACGGCUAACUACGUGCCAGCAGCCGCGGUAAUACGUAGGUGGCAAGCGUUGUCCGGAAUUAUUGGGCGUAAAGCGCGCGCAGGUGGUUCCUUAAGUCUGAUGUGAAAGCCCACGGCUCAACCGUGGAGGGUCAUUGGAAACUGGGGGACUUGA